UAUUCUUUAGUAAAGGAUGAAUAGUCUAUUGUUCAGCUAUUAGUUCCCCUCCCCAACUUGCAACAAAUUGUUGUUACUCCCAUCUCUUUCCUCGCCCUCUUCCACACGCCAUUCUCCGGCCGAGUGGCUUGCUUGUGGGCGUUCUGGCAUGAUAUGGCAGCACCUUCGGUUUUAUGUCAAGAAUUCUGCAUAGCAUAUUUGUAUGAAGGUCUGGUUAUUCACAGGAAAAUUAUUAUAUACUAUGGAGGUACUUUUGUGUCUUUUUGUCGAGAGCAAAACUUUUUUUUUUUCAAUCAAAAAUAAUUGUUCUGAAAGCAAAAACGAGGCAAUCAAAUAUUUUGUAAUAGAGCUCAACACUUUAUGCAUUUUAUUCCCCAAAAUUAUUUUGAGAAGAAAAAAUGUAUUUGUAAACAAAAAUUUAAUUUCGCUAUCAACCACCCUCCAUUUUGGCAAUUUCUUGAGUGUUUUGCUACAACCAAUACUGUUCAGCCUUUCUUUCCGACACAAAGGACGUCAUAGCGGACACCUACGAAGGACUGUGUCAUGAUGGCAUCUCAGGUAAGCAGCACUGGGCGAUAUUCCGUCUAACUUCUACAUAGCUAGUAGUUAGCUCCUAAGAUGCAGUGUCGGUUCAUAACUUCUUAUGGCUGCAGGGGCAGUAUUGAGUAGCUUGGAUGAGAGGUGCCCAUAGUAAACGGCCUGCUCCUCAUUCAUAGUUGCUAAUAUUUGCAUAGUAUUAGCAGUAUUGGAUAGAAAACACUCUGAAGUUUCUAAAACAGUUUGAAUUAUGUCUGUGAGUAUAACAGAACUCAUAUUGCAGGCAAAAACCUGAGAAAUUUGUUUGGAUUUUUUCUGGGGGUGGCAGAUUUUCAACCAAGCUCUCAUUGAAAUUACAGCGAGAUAUGGAUGAGUUUUCACUUCCUACGCCUUCCACUAGAUGUCAACAGUCAAUAGAACUUUGUCUGAUGACUCUAAUCUGAAGGGGGGUCGAAUGAGACAGGAAAUAGUCACCACUGCCACGAGUUGACCAUGCUUUCACCUUGCGCGUUCACACGGGAAGGACCUGCGUUCCACCACUCAUCUGAAGUCAUUCUAAUUCUCUGCUUGGAACGUAAUUCAAGAUGUAUGUAAACAACAUUCUAAAGAUUGAUUCAGUACAUCGUUUGACAUGUUUCUACUGACUGUUACAGAACUUUUGGGCAUUUCGUCACGUUAUAGUGGACGCGCUUUGUGAAUUUUAAAUUGUUUACCAAACGCGCUAACCAAAGUAGGUAAUUGGACAUAAAUAACGGACAUUUUCGAAAAAAUCAAGCAUUUAUUGUGGACCUGAGAUUCCUAGGACUGCAUUCUGAUGAAGUUCAUCAAAGGUAAGGAAACAUUUAACAUGUAUUUUCUGGUUUCUGUUGACUCCAACAUGGCGGCUAAUUUGGCUAUUGUUCUGAGCUCCGUCUCAGAUUAUUCCAUGGGUUGCUUUUUCCGUAAUGUUUUUUUUCAAUCUGACACAGCGGUUGCAUUAAGGAGAGGUAUAUCUAUAAUUCCAUGUGUAUAACUUGUAUUAUCAUCUACAUUUAUGAUGAGUAUUUCUGUUGAAACGAUGUGGCUAUGCAAAAUCACUUGAUGUUUUUGGAACUAGUGAAUGUAAUGCGCCAAUGUAAACUCAGAUUUGUUUUAUAUAAAUAUGAACUUUAUCAAACAAAACAUGCAUGUAUUGUGUAACAUGAAGUCCUAUGAGUGUCAUCUGAUGAAGAUAAUUCAAGGUUAGUGAUUAAUUUUAUCUCUAUUUCUGCUUUUUGUGACUGCUAUAUUUGUCUGGAAAAUGGCUGUGUUUAUUGUGGUUUGGUGGAGACCUAACAUAAUCGUUUGUAGAGCUUUCGCUGAAAAGCCUAUUUGAAAUCGGACACUUUGGUGGGAUUAACAACAAGAUUAACUUUAAAAUGAUAUAAAACACAUGUAUGUUUUAGGAACUGUAAUUAUGAGAUUUCUGUGGUUUGAAUUUGGCGCCCUCUAUUUUCACUGGUAGUUGUCAUAUCGAUCCCGGUAGUGAGAUUGCAGCCAUAACAAGAUAACAUUCUACUAUAUUACAUACAUACAUACAUACAUACAUACAUACAUACAUACAUACAUACAUACAUACAUACAUACAUACAUACAUACAUACCGUAGAAUGAUAAAUCAUGCAAUUAUUAUUCUCAAGCUAACCAAAAACAUUUUGCUAUGAACACCUGUUCUCACCAUUUUCAGUUGAAUUCAUCAAACAUUCUUUCAUGGCAGCUCAUAAGCAGGCCAUGUCCUAUUUGUUUCUUAGUCGAAAUAUAAUCAUUUUGCAUGAAAGUAUAACGGUUAGCUUUUUUUACAGAAGGAUGAAAGAACACAAUAUGUCUGUCGGGGGAAUGCUAUUCUGAUAUGUCAGAUGAAGAGUUAGACCAGAAAGUCAGGGCCAUUAAGGCAAGGAUGCCCCAUCCAGGCUUUAGAAUGGUCAAAGGAAGUCUCCAAGCAAUGGGCCAUCGUGUACAAUGGCGAAGAGUUAGGGAGUCUCUGCAGAGUGUAGAUGGUGCAGGUAUCGUUGCCAGAAUGAUCCAGCUUCGUUGCAUUGCUCUGCAAAAAUACUCUGUACCUGCUCCCCUGUCUCUCGUCCACAUUGAUACAAAUCAUACAUUGAUAAGGUACUAGAUGUAUAAUGUCUCCAUCAAAUCUUAGAAGUAAACUUUUUUUGUUCUUUCUUAUUUGUAGAAAAUAUCAACUGGUAGUACAUAAAUAAUGAAGCAGGUUAAUAGGUUAAACAUUUCACUUUUCAUUCCAAUGCUUUUUUCAAGAUACAACAUUGUCAUAUUUGGCAGUAUAGAUGGAUUUUCAAGGAAGGUAAGUAUAUUAUUUUGUAUGCAUAUUGCAUAUUUCCCAUCACCUAAUGAACAACCAUAAUACCAGUCUGGUGUUAAGCUUUCUGUGCUGUAUUGAUGUGUCCUACAAAUGACAUCUCCUGCUUUAGAUUGAAUGGUCAUAUCUCAGUUAUUGUUUUCAUAUCUACAAAAAAAUAAGCUAUUUUCUUUACUUUCAGAGUGAGAGCUGAUCAAGGGGUCGAAAAUGUCAAUAUUGCCAGAUGUAUGUUCACUGUCCGAGGAACAGGCUAUGGAAGCUUUACUGCUGGCAAAAGUGUCCUUAACCAAAGAGUGGAACGCUUAUGGACAGAUGUUUGGAGUGCUGUGACAUGUCAGUACUACAACUUUCUGCACAGUUUGGAGGAAGAAGGCUACCUUGACCUGUCAAAUUCUAUCCACCUCUUCUGUGUGGGAUAUGUGUUCCUACCUUGUCUGCGGGCAGAUCUGCAGUGUUUCACAGAGAGUUGGAAUAAUCCCCCUUUAAGUACAGAGGUCAACCUGACACCUCACCAGCUGUUGCCUUAGCACUACACAACUGAUUCAAAUGAUCAAGUCAUCAUCAAGCUUCAAGUGGUAUUUAUGUAUUCAUUUGUGAUCUGGUAAUGUAAAAGUCUAAUAAUGACAUUAUCUUCUAUUUUUUGUCCUCAUGUGUCUGUUUUUCAGCAUAAAGUACUCUGUAGUCACUUAGUGUGGACACCAGGUUAUAUCAGCUGUGUUGGUGAACCCCUCCCGCAUCUGAACUGUCUGACACAGAGUGCACAGCAUGAUCAUAGGUAUGUUUUGAUGUGAGAGAGGAAGCCAGUCCCAUCAUCGCCACCUUACCUGCUCUUAAGAUAACCUUCGGGCCGACUGGGAGCCCAAGGCUGGUUAGGAGACUGGUUAGGAGACACCUCUAGAGACACUAUGUAAUUGUGAUGAACCGAGAGAAUAUUAGGAUAGUACUGUAAUUCAUUAAUCAUAAGCGGUCUUCCCUGCUCGUCUAUCUUACCUCAUUCCUUUUCUGUCUUCUACACCUCUCUCCCCACCUCCUCUUUCAUCCUCUUUGUUUUAUAAUACACACCAUAUGUACAUUGAAGUACUGAUUGAACUUGUAUUUAUAAAAUGAUAUUACAUUUAUAAUAUUUAUAAUGCAUGUAUUGUAUAUUUAUAACACCUGGAUAAUGAACUUUCA
Molecule: long non-coding RNA, 4047 nt
Organism: Oncorhynchus nerka (sockeye salmon)
Lineage: Eukaryota; Metazoa; Chordata; Actinopteri; Salmoniformes; Salmonidae
Exons: 4
Source: RefSeq, a predicted model, not a curated record